CUUGACCAGGGGUGGAGAAGGGACCCCCUCAGUGACCCACUGGAUGAGCUGCAGCACGCUCUCAUGUGAGUUGCCAUGUGAGUUCUGGGGUCUUGCUCAGAGCGCAUUUUCUAGUCUGGGGAAAUUGGCUCAUGCAUUUCCACAUGAUGGAGUCUACCUGGGGGGCCCUGUCCCUCUUGGCGCCAUCCCACUCCAGAGAGGCUCUGCUUGAAAACCUCAUUCUUUCUUCACAACAGAUGCUGGGUUCAGUCCAGAAUCCUCCGUCAUGUUUGCAGUGUAUGUGCAGUGCUCCAGCCAGGAAGGAUAGGGAGCCAAAAAGCGCUGGGAGAGGUGCAGAAAGCGCCCCCUCCACGCCUGGCUCUUGAGACAGCAGCAAGGUGGCCAGUGCAGGGCGGAGGAAGCCCUGCGUCCCAUCCCCAUGGCUCUCCAGGGCCAGCACUUCUGACCUCUCAGCAGGACACUCCCACCUCUCAGUUGGCUUUAUUGGGAACAGCAACUUUCCAACUUUCAUCACAUAAGAAUCAGCUGGGAGGUUAUCAAUAAUGCAGAUUUCCAAGCCUCACUCCGGGAUGUGGGGUGUGGCCCAAGAAGCGGCACUUUGAGUCAGCCCUGCGUGGUUCUGAUACACGCGUUCCCAGAUCCCACACUGAGAAACAGUGGUGGGGCCUCCUUGGCGGCCCCUCAUGAGGCCAGCGGUGAGGACUCCAGGUUUCUAUCCAGCCACCUGGCCGUCAGCCUCACAGAGUUAGCUCCUAAGGCCUGGAACCCCUCGAAUUCUCCUUACUGAACUGCCAGGACUUUAGGAAAGCAAUAAAAGGACUUGGCGGGAGUGAUGGCACUGAUACUCUGAAGGAAGAGCCAAUGUGGUUUCCAUACUAAUGGCACUCACUUGAUAGAAAGGCACACCCUGAGCUCUGUACCAGUCUGCAUCCCUCCUCACUGAGGCCGGAGACGUCCUUUACCCCGCGGAGCUACAGGAGUCAGCUCUGUGUUACUCUCGUCUGGAGCCUCUUGUAUGUUCCCUGGAGAUGUAGGCAUUCUGGAAACAGAGCACGACAUAGUCACAAUUUCCAAGGGAUCAACUGAACUAGAAAAGAGCACAAACAUCUCACACAGAUUGGCAACAAUGCUACUGACAACAAUGAUCUCAAUCUGUGGCUUCGAGGAUCUGAAGACUUCUUGGAGAUAAACACAUCUGGAUGGGCUGAAAGCUAGUCAUGUGAAUCAGAACAGCCCCACGCUCCUGUCCAAAAAGAAACGUAAAGGGGCUGGCUCAGAUGUGCUGCACAGCAAUUGAAGAAGUUGAGUAUCAUCUGCUUUUCCUUUGGCUUACCUUUAUUGUUUAUUUGAUCUGUUUUCGUAGGAAUUUGUAUCAUCACUCCAACGUCUGCAAAAAAACCAGCCCUCAGGUCUAAACAUAGUUACUUUUCAGCUCUUGUCAUACAGUUCGAGCUGGAAAUGAACGCCAAACAUGUUACAAGUCCCCGCUCGCUCCAUGCUGCGCCACCCGAAGAGGCUUGGCUGGUGGCAAGCUCUGAGACUCAGGUGGAGGGGCUCGUUUGGGGCUGUCACUUCCUGGGAGAGACACUGGCUCCACUUUGAACCUCAGCUGCAACCCACAAAGUGA
This 1627-nucleotide long non-coding RNA is filed under the name Equus caballus (horse). RNAcentral describes it as "lncRNA (ENSECAG00000047564.1)". The record is from RNAcentral. Lineage: Eukaryota; Metazoa; Chordata; Mammalia; Perissodactyla; Equidae.